Molecule: unclassified non-coding RNA, 148 nt
Organism: Papio anubis (olive baboon)
Lineage: Eukaryota; Metazoa; Chordata; Mammalia; Primates; Cercopithecidae
Rfam family: Metazoan signal recognition particle RNA
About the family: The signal recognition particle (SRP) is a universally conserved ribonucleoprotein. It is involved in the co-translational targeting of proteins to membranes.
Source: Ensembl
GCUGGGCAUGGUGGUGCAUGCCUGUGGCCUCAGCUACUUGGGAGGCUGAGGUGGGAGGAUCACUUGAGCCUGGGAGGUUGAGGCUUCAGUGAGCGGUGAUCACGCCACUGCACUCCCACCUAGGCAACAGAGUGAGACACUAUCUCUA